CGCAACGCGCCGCAGGAAGAUGGCGGAUUUACGACCGUGUCGUCAUAACAACGGGCCGCGCUGAGGCGAGCGAGAGAAAACGACAAGAGGAGGCCGACGGGGCGGAGCCAGGUGAUAUUUAAUUAGCUCUAUGAAGCUAAGCACUUUACAGGAUUUUCUCAUUUAAGUACCAAUCGCCCCCAUUUUGAAGAUGAAGAAACUGAGGCACAGUACUGAUAGGACGCUUGCCCAAGGGCGGACUGGAGACGGAAGUCUGCACAGAGCCAUGGGCUGGAAACCCACAGGAUGUGCUCUCUCCCACAUCAGUUAUCUUCUGUGGCCCAGCCCUGUGCUGAAUCCCAGAGACUCAGAUGAAUCAGAACUGGUCUCCUCCAGGAAGGCUAAUCUCUAGAAAAGACCAAGCAGAGACUCAAGGGACGGGGCAGAGAGUAGACUGUUCUGCCCUGGCAAGGACACCAAGCAGAGACUGUCUCCAUGCUGGGGCUGCCCAGCUGGGCCCCCGAGGACCCUUGGCCUGGCAGAAGCCGGCCUGUGUGAAGCACAGGUCAGACGGUCAGAGGUCAGACUGGGUAACAAUGAGGUUGCUUUCUGCAUGAGGCUUGCUCGCCAAUGCAGGGGGAUAGGCCGACGGUGUGAAAGCAUUUCAAAAGGAUCCCUCUGACUGCUGUGCGGAUAAAAGGACCUCAGGGCCCAUAGAGGCAAGAAGAUCCCAGAUGGAUGGUCUCUGAGAGGGACAAACCGGAGGAAGACCGGGGGCUGGGGGGAGCUUGCGGAGGGGGCUUCUGGGAAGGUAGGACCAGGAAGACACCUCACUUAAGGAUGUGCUGAAGAGUAAUGGUGAAGCCAGCAUCAGAGAGAGAGAGGAAGCCCCAGAGGAAUGGGAUAGGGCAGGGUCUCAAAGGCAGAGGACACCCUGAGUGUGGGUGGACACGAGGAGGAGCCGGCCCAGGGGAGACAGAGAGCCUGCCUGCCGCGUGCUCCAGAACCGUGUCCAGAGCGGACCAAAGCUCCUGCCUGGUGGCUCCCUGGGAGUCAGGAAAGGGCAUCCUGCACCAGUGAGUCCCAGGUCCUGCGUUACGAGAGCCCAGGCAAGCCAGCGGGUACAGGGGCAGACAGGCCUAAGGUCGCUGAAAGGCAGAGUGGCCAGACAAAGACAGGAAAACCGGAGUCCCCACUCCCCCAAACAGCCUCCUCCCCGACCCAGCCCUCCGCGGCACGGGCUCCAGCGGCACCCUGUGUGUUUUUAGAGUCAGUGCUGUGCUGACCUGCUGUGGCCAGAGCCACGGAGACUCCAUCACCCUUUAUGAGGACUGCUCAACCUCUGUUCUUUGAUGGACUUAUUGAACCAAUCCCGUGCUGAAGAAUAUUUAGAUUGCUUCCGAA
This is a long non-coding RNA of Herpailurus yagouaroundi (jaguarundi), 1383 nucleotides long. RefSeq lists it as uncharacterized. NCBI's taxonomy places the organism in Eukaryota, Metazoa, Chordata, Mammalia, Carnivora, Felidae. The record is from RefSeq and is a predicted model, not a curated record. The transcript has 2 exons.